ACUAAAAGGAAUCCGAGGAUCCCCAUUUUGGACACCUCCAUUCUCUUGGGGAGUUGAAAAUACUCUCCCCGGAUUCAUCCUUCAAUUGCUUGAAACAGAGAUCUCUAGUUACGGAAGGAACAGCUCUAUCUGCUGCCACAUCCUUAGGUGGAUUUCUAUACUUGGAGCUUGCAUGAAAUUGUUAUAAUGUAUCUAUUUUGAUUAUUGAGAUAGAGAUGUGAUCGUAUAAGUAAUUAGAUAAUAUGUUCAUAUUUUUAAUUCACCUUUUUUUAUUUGUAUUGUAUUUAUUUUUAU
Long non-coding RNA from Solanum tuberosum (potato), 294 nucleotides. RefSeq lists it as uncharacterized. NCBI's taxonomy places the organism in Eukaryota, Viridiplantae, Streptophyta, Magnoliopsida, Solanales, Solanaceae. The transcript has 3 exons. The record is from RefSeq and is a predicted model, not a curated record.